Molecule: long non-coding RNA, 482 nt
Filed under: Lathyrus oleraceus (garden pea)
Lineage: Eukaryota; Viridiplantae; Streptophyta; Magnoliopsida; Fabales; Fabaceae
Description: Pisum sativum (pea) long non-coding RNA (PSAT_LNC024530)
Source: RNAcentral
AGGCGGGAAAUCGUCCCUAGACCUCUUGAGGGGAAAGCAUCGACUUCUAGGAGCCGCUUGUCACAACAAUCCUCAUUUCAGGGGUACGUCUCCCCUGAUCAUGUAGACCUGGAGGAAGCUUCUAUUGUUGCACAUGAUGAUGCUCCUUCACUUAUAAACCCUUUUUCAAGAGGGUACACGAACACCUCCUUACUGAUAUACUAUAGAGAUCAUGUUGUUGGACAUGUCUGUGCCAGAGAAGUAUUUUUGUUAACGAUUGUUAUUUAUAUGUUUUAAAUAGCCAAUUAGUCUUAACAGAUAUGCAACUAAUCACAUGAAAAUAUUAUAUAGAGAGAGAGCAAGCAAAUUAGAGAUUUUUACACAAUUAAUCCUUUUGUUUUUCAAAAAUCUGUAACACCUCAAAAUUUGCCCUCCUCUCUUGGGACUAGUUUAACAUAUUGCAUUGCAUUUUUUAGGUCAUUAGGCAUUGCAUAUUUGCAUAU